AACGAACGCUGGCGGCAUGCCUAACACAUGCAAGUCGAACGAGAUCUUCGGGUCUAGUGGCGCACGGGUGCGUAACGCGUGGGAAUCUGCCCUUUGGUUCGGAAUAACAGUUGGAAACGACUGCUAAUACCGGAUGAUGACGAAAGUCCAAAGAUUUAUCGCCAGAGGAUGACCCCGCGUAGGAUUAGCUAGUUGGUGUGGUAAAGGCGCACCAAGGCGACUAUCCUUAGCUGGUCUGAGAGGAUGAUCAGCCACGCUGGGGCUGAGACACGGCCCACACUCCUACGGGAGGCAGCAGUGGGGAAUAUUGGACAAUGGGCGAAAGCCUGAUCCAGCAAUGCCGCGUGAGUGAUGAAGGCCUUAGGGUUGUAAAGCUCUUUUACCCGGGAUGAUAAUGACAGUACCGGGAGAAUAAGCUCCGGCUAACUCCGUGCCAGCAGCCGCGGUAAUACGGAGGGAGCUAGCGUUGUUCGGAAUUACUGGGCGUAAAGCGCACGUAGGCGACUUUGUAAGUUAGAGGUGAAAGCCUGGAGCUCA
Molecule: ribosomal RNA, 537 nt
Filed under: uncultured bacterium
Lineage: Bacteria
Description: bacterial SSU rRNA
Rfam family: Bacterial small subunit ribosomal RNA
Source: RNAcentral